This 390-nucleotide ribosomal RNA is filed under the name uncultured beta proteobacterium. Its description in RNAcentral is "bacterial SSU rRNA". It matches the Rfam family "Bacterial small subunit ribosomal RNA", at positions 75 to 468 of the family's 1533-position model. The record is from RNAcentral. Lineage: Bacteria; Pseudomonadati; Pseudomonadota; Betaproteobacteria.
GGGGGCAACCCUGGCGGCGAGCGGCGAACGGGUGAGUAACACAUCGGAACGUGCCCUAUCGUGGGGGAUAACGAAUCGAAAGAUUCGCUAAUACCGCAUACGACCUGAGGGUGAAAGCGGGGGAUCGCAAGACCUCGCGCGAUUGGAGCGGCCGAUGUCGGAUUAGCUAGUUGGUGAGGUAAAGGCUCACCAAGGCGACGAUCCGUAGCUGGUCUGAGAGGACGACCAGCCACACUGGGACUGAGACACGGCCCAGACUCCUACGGGAGGCAGCAGUGGGGAAUUUUGGACAAUGGGGGCAACCCUGAUCCAGCCAUUCCGCGUGAGUGAAGAAGGCCUUCGGGUUGUAAAGCUCUUUCGGCAGGAACGAAACGGUGCGGGCUAAUACCC